CCCUUAGAUGUUCUGGGCAGCACGCGCGCUACAAUGGUCUUCGCAAACGGAUGCAUUCUCGAAGGAGAAUGCCAAUCUUGGAAUCUAUGCCUUGGUCGGGACAGUUGCUUGCAAUUUUUCGACUCGAACGAGGAAUUCCCAGUAAGCGCGAGUCAUCAGCUCGCGUUGAUUACGUCCCUGCCCUUUGUACCCACCGCCCGUCGCUACUACCGAUUGGAUGGUUUAGUGAGACCCUCGGAUCGGUCCCGACUCGGGGUGGGCUUCUGCCCCGGUCGUGGUUUCGCCGAGAAGACGGUCAAACUUGACUAUCUAGAGGAAGUAAAAGUCGUAACA
Molecule: ribosomal RNA, 333 nt
Filed under: uncultured eukaryote
Lineage: Eukaryota
Description: partial 18S ribosomal RNA
Rfam family: Eukaryotic small subunit ribosomal RNA
Source: RNAcentral